UACGGAGGGGGCUAGCGUUGUUCGGAAUUACUGGGCGUAAAGCGCACGUAGGCGGACUGGAAAGUUGGGGGUGAAAUCCCGGGGCUCAACCUCGGAACUGCCUUCAAAACUAUCAGUCUGGAGUUCGAGAGAGGUGAGUGGAAUUCCGAGUGUAGAGGUGAAAUUCGUAGAUAUUCGGAGGAACACCAGUGGCGAAGGCGGCUCACUGGCUCGAUACUGACGCUGAGGUG
RNAcentral lists this ribosomal RNA (230 nucleotides) under uncultured microorganism. RNAcentral's name for it is "partial 16S ribosomal RNA". It matches the Rfam family "Bacterial small subunit ribosomal RNA", at positions 524 to 753 of the family's 1533-position model. The record is from RNAcentral.